This 1440-nucleotide long non-coding RNA is filed under the name Anas platyrhynchos platyrhynchos (common mallard). Its description in RNAcentral is "lncRNA (ENSAPLG00000018902.1)". Lineage: Eukaryota; Metazoa; Chordata; Aves; Anseriformes; Anatidae. The record is from RNAcentral.
GUAACAAAAUGUUUUAAAACGCUUAUUUUCUAGGCAUCCUUAGUCUGGAAAUUCUAUAUGUGGUUGUUUGUCUUCUUCUUAACCUAGAGCAGCAUCUUCCUUGUUCUUUUCAAUUUUAAGUUGAAGCAGUACAAUAUAUUGAUCUUUUCUGUGGGCAGAAUUCUUAAUUUCAAUGCCCCUUUAGGGAAUUAAAUAUGGAUUUGAAAGAGAUGUCCAGCUGCUCAUACCAUUUGGCAGAAGCUGUCUAAAUUGUGCAAGUGGGGGAUAAAUGCAGACAUUUUGAGCUGUUCUAACCUCUCCUUGACUCGACAUCUCCAUCCAUUAUGAAUCCCUUGGGCCAGAUCCUCACUGAGGUAAAUUGGCAUAGUUUCCUUAGGCUUAUUCCUCCUGUGCUGACUUACACCAGCUGAGCCUGACAUUAUUUCCUCAUUAAGUGGAUGAAGUAACCAAAGCAUGUCUGCAGGCCUCAGAAUUGAAAUGCAUUUCUGUAAGUACUGCUUUGCUUUAGUAGCAGCACUAAUGCAGUGGAAGCUCCUGAUACCCUCUGUAGACACAGUCACAGGGGAGAGAGUGAAUUGAGGUAAUAUAUCCACAGCUGUGAACUGUUCUCCAUUUGAACAAGAGGGGACCGGCUGUGCCAAAUGAAGCAGAGGAAAGAUGAGCCAUUCUGCUUGAUCCUGGCCCAAUGCCCACAUGGUCCUGCUACCCAUUUUUUCCUGCUAAUACCCUGUCUCCUUCAUGGCCAGAUCUAGAUCUUUCACAGGACAGGAGAAUUUUGACACCAAUGCUUUUUUAUGAAGACUGCACAGAGAGGAGAGGAGCCUUUAUGUAACUGAGCAUAAAUGUGUGCAUUUGUGUGCAUCCAUUUGUGCCUGGAACACAUACAUAUACUGUCAAAUAGAGCAGACAGUGUAACUACAAACAUUCAGUGAGACUUGACUGUUUGUUUGUUUGUUUGUUUGUUUGUUUGUUUAGGGGCAGGUGUAGCUGUGAUACCAAAAGAAUGACUGUCUCAUGUGAUCUCCCAAACACUUGUCUGUGUAUCAAGUCACACCCUACUUUGGUGAUACAAUAGCAGGCACUGGCAAAUUCGAAAAGAACAGGACACAGUGCAGCACACCAAAACCUCUGCAUGGCACUGCAGUUGCUCUCUGAUUUAGGGGAAGCUACAGAGAAACUCUAGCACUGUACAAAAUAAUCAGUUUAAGAUACGAAAACAAACCACUGGAGACUUAUUGAGUCUUAAAUGUCUUUAUCUUGAAGUCUUUAUCUUAAAUGUCUCAGAAUCCUAGGAGCUUUUAAAAACACUCAUAAUAAUUCAAAUUGUUGCUAGUGUUAGCUUUACUGUUAUAUAUUGUUUUACUUUAUCAAGGCAGAAAUGUGCUCAUCAUUCAUGCAGUGUUAUAAAAUGCAGUUGUAGGGAAAAAAAUAAUCCUAAAC